AUUGAACGCUGGCGGCAUGCUUUACACAUGCAAGUCGAACGGUAACAGGCCGCAAGGUGCUGACGAGUGGCGAACGGGUGAGUAAUGCAUCGGAACGUGCCCAGUCGUGGGGGACAACGCAGCGAAAGCUGUGCUAAUACCGCAUACGAUCUAUGGAUGAAAGCGGGGGACCGUAAGGCCUCGCGCGAUUGGAGCGGCCGAUGUCAGAUUAGGUAGUUGGUGGGGUAAAGGCCCACCAAGCCAACGAUCUGUAGCUGGUCUGAGAGGACGACCAGCCACACUGGGACUGAGACACGGCCCAGACUCCUACGGGAGGCAGCAGUGGGGAAUUUUGGACAAUGGGCGCAAGCCUGAUCCAGCAAUGCCGCGUGCAGGUAGAAGGCUUUCGGGUUGUAAACUGCUUUUGUACGGAACGAAACGGUCUGGGUUAAUACCCUGGGCUAAUGACGGUACCGUAAGAAUAAGCACCGGCUAACUACGUGCCAGCAGCCGCCGUAA
Molecule: ribosomal RNA, 498 nt
Filed under: uncultured bacterium
Lineage: Bacteria
Description: partial 16S ribosomal RNA
Rfam family: Bacterial small subunit ribosomal RNA
Source: RNAcentral